UUGCUCUUCUUGGAUGAGUUGCGAACGGGUGAGUAACGCGUAGGUAACCUGCCUUGUAGCGGGGGAUAACUAUUGGAAACGAUAGCUAAUACCGCAUAACAAUGGGUGACACAUGUCAUUUAUUUGAAAGGGGCAAUUGCUCCACUACAAGAUGGACCUGCGUUGUAUUAGCUAGUAGGUGAGGUAACGGCUCACCUAGGCGACGAUACAUAGCCGACCUGAGAGGGUGAUCGGCCACACUGGGACUGAGACACGGCCCAGACUCCUACGGGAGGCAGCAGUAGGGAAUCUUCGGCAAUGGGGGCAACCCUGACCGAGCAACGCCGCGUGAGUGAAGAAGGUUUUCGGAUCGUAAAGCUCUGUUGUAAGUCAAGAACGAGUGUGAGAGUGGAAAGUUCACACUGUGACGGUAGCUUACCAGAAAGGGACGGCUAACUACGUGCCAGCAGCCGCGGUAAUACGUAGGUCCCGAGCGUUGUCCGGAUUUAUUGGGCGUAAAGCGAGCGCAGGCGGUUUGAUAAGUCUGAAGUUAAAGGCUGUGGCUCAACCAUAGUUCGCUUUGGAAACUGUCAAACUUGAGUGCAGAAGGGGAGAGUGGAAUUCCAUGUGUAGCGGUGAAAUGCGUAGAUAUAUGGAGGAACACCGGUGGCGAAAGCGGCUCUCUGGUCUGUAACUGACGCUGAGGCUCGAAAGCGUGGGGAGCGAACAGGAUUAGAUACCCUGGUAGUCCACGCCGUAAACGAUGAGUGCUAGGUGUUGGAUCCUUUCCGGGAUUCAGUGCCGCAGCUAACGCAUUAAGCACUCCGCCUGGGGAGUACGACCGCAAGGUUGAAACUCAAAGGAAUUGACGGGGGCCCGCACAAGCGGUGGAGCAUGUGGUUUAAUUCGAAGCAACGCGAAGAACCUUACCAGGUCUUGACAUCCCGAUGCUAUUUCUAGAGAUAGAAAGUUACUUCCGUACAUCGGUGACAGGUGGUGCAUGGUUGUCGUCAGCUCCUGUCCGGGAAAUGUUGGGGUUAAGUCCCGCAACCAAGCCCACCCCCUAUGGUU
Molecule: ribosomal RNA, 1050 nt
Filed under: Streptococcus salivarius
Lineage: Bacteria; Bacillati; Bacillota; Bacilli; Lactobacillales; Streptococcaceae
Description: bacterial SSU rRNA
Rfam family: Bacterial small subunit ribosomal RNA
Source: RNAcentral